RNAcentral lists this long non-coding RNA (427 nucleotides) under Gallus gallus (chicken). Its description in RNAcentral is "long non-coding RNA NONGGAT004681". The record is from RNAcentral. Lineage: Eukaryota; Metazoa; Chordata; Aves; Galliformes; Phasianidae.
ACAAACUCUAAGCGUCUCUCAUUGUUUGGGUGCUUUUUCAUGCAGACUCGCGUACAUCAAAAACCGACCAAAUCAAAAGGCAUUUAUUUUUCAGCUGCCUUUAGAAAAGCAGAAAGAGAAGCGUAAGCAGGAAGCAGAAAGCAGCAUUUGUCCCAGGACAAAGAUCUGUCACUUUGGGGUGAAACUGGGACGGCACUUGAGAGUCAAGGAAUAUCAAGAGUGUCCCAACACGGCUGGUAUGGAAACAGGUGCCAGGGAGGCUCCGUUCUGGUGGGAAAAGACAUGAGAUCCCAUCACCAGCAAGAUCUCCUCCUCUUACCAUGAAACCCUCGUGCCUGUUUGAAAGCCAUCAUCCUCCUGGCCAGCCAGCCCACUCAGCAUGUAGUGCUAUAUUCAAAUGCCAUUAUAGAAAGUCAUUAAAUUUAAC